Molecule: ribosomal RNA, 858 nt
Filed under: uncultured marine bacterium
Lineage: Bacteria
Description: bacterial SSU rRNA
Rfam family: Bacterial small subunit ribosomal RNA
Source: RNAcentral
CUUACACAUGCAAGUCGAGGGGUAACAGGGAUUGCUUGCAAUCCGCUGACGACCGGCGCACGGGUGCGUAACGCGUAUGCAACCUACCUUCUACAAGAGGAUAGCCCAAAGAAAUUUGGAUUAAUACUCUAUACGAUCAUUAACUGGCAUCAGUAAAUGAAGAAAACUCCGGUGGUAGAAGAUGGGCAUGCGUCCUAUUAGUUUGUUGGUAAGGUAAUGGCUUACCAAGACUUCGAUAGGUAGGGGUCCUGAGAGGGAGAUCCCCCACACUGGUACUGAGACACGGACCAGACUCCUACGGGAGGCAGCAGUGAGGAAUAUUGGACAAUGGAGGCAACUCUGAUCCAGCCAUGCCGCGUGCAGGAAGACGGCCCCACGGGUUGUAAACUGCUUUUAUACAGGAAGAAUUAUACCUACGUGUAGGUAUUUGACGGUACUGUACGAAUAAGGAUCGGCUAACUCCGUGCCAGCAGCCGCGGUAAUACGGAGGAUCCAAGCGUUAUCCGGAAUCAUUGGGUUUAAAGGGUCCGUAGGCGGUCUGGUAAGUCAGAGGUGAAAUCCUGCAGCUCAACUGUAGCAUUGCCUUUGAUACUGCUAGACUUGAGUUAUUGUGAAGUAGUUAGAAUGUGUAGUGUAGCGGUGAAAUGCAUAGAUAUUACACAGAAUACCGAUUGCGAAAGCAGAUUACUAACAAUAUACUGACGCUGAGGGACGAAAGCGUGGGUAGCGAACAGGAUUAGAUACCCUGGUAGUCCACGCCGUAAACGAUGGAUACUAGCUGUUCGACCAACAUUGGUUGGUUGAGUGGCUAAGCGAAAGUGAUAAGUAUCCCACCUGGGGAGUACGCUCGCAAGAGUG